UUCAAGUGACGCACGAAUGAACCGCGAAAACUGAUUUCAUUCUCGCCGCCAAGAAACGCGCGAAAAAUCCUGUUUUCCACACUUGACCAAGCCAUCACACGGCUUAAUACGUAUCAGCUUGAUACCUCCAGGGAACAUCUUUGGCAUAACUUCUCCGACAUUUACGUGUGAAGAUGGUAGCGAGGAUGGUGUUCCAUAGCUCGCAAACUUACAGACAAACUCGAAGAAGACAAAAAGAGCACGAUUGCCCCGACUAAUUAUUCUUCAAACCAACGAAGUUACUGGUGCGAAAGAGAGAAAAGGAGUUCAUCGAUCAUCAGAGGUGCAUGGUAUACGGAUUC
Long non-coding RNA from Bombus pyrosoma, 341 nucleotides. RefSeq lists it as uncharacterized. The transcript has 3 exons. The record is from RefSeq and is a predicted model, not a curated record. NCBI's taxonomy places the organism in Eukaryota, Metazoa, Arthropoda, Insecta, Hymenoptera, Apidae.